This is a non-coding RNA of Manis javanica (Malayan pangolin), 234 nucleotides long. NCBI's taxonomy places the organism in Eukaryota, Metazoa, Chordata, Mammalia, Pholidota, Manidae. The record is from RefSeq and is a predicted model, not a curated record.
GAUGCAGGCUGUUGAAGAUGGUCUUUAAGAGAUGUAUAUGACUUUCAUGACCAAAGAAAAGGGGCUACAAAUGCAGAAGAUUUUUUUUGGUCAGAGAAACCUUGAAUGGAAAGCUUGGACUGGGUGCUCGCUGACUGGCAGCUAUUGGUGUCACGAACGAGGGCCCUCAGCAGACCAGCACCCCAUUCGCCUCCCACUUCCACCCCAGCUCCCCCUCCUUGCCCCCAGCCCCGG